GGCCUUGUAGCUCAGUGGUUAGAGCGCUGGUCUUGUAAACAGGGGUCAUGAGUUCAACUCUCAUCAGGGCCU
Non-coding RNA from Nerophis lumbriciformis (worm pipefish), 72 nucleotides. The record is from the annotation of a RefSeq genome assembly. Lineage: Eukaryota; Metazoa; Chordata; Actinopteri; Syngnathiformes; Syngnathidae.